GGUGGGGCUCUGCCCCCCUGGCCCUGAAUGAUGGGUCGCCACUGCUUCUUCCAUAUCCUCAUGUGUUGCCAAUGUUUGACAACCCAAGUUUGCUGAUGGUGUGUAUCUGGUUCUGCUGAUGGGACUGCUGGAGGACUACUUUGUCCCCCUCUACAACUUCUUCCUCACACCGGAGAACUUUGAGCAGAUGGCCCACAAUGUGACGUUUGCCUUUGAGCUGAUGCAGGACAGAGCCCUGAAGAAACCCAAAGCCAAACCAGACGAAUAUCAUACAACAUUAUUGCCUGAUGAUCUUCUGAACAUCCCAAUACCUUUCUGAUGCAUUUCAGUCACUUCAAACUAUACUUCCUUCAGAUGGAAAUACUGUCAAAAGUACUGUCAGACUGAUUUGUAAUAGAUUGUAAU
Long non-coding RNA from Oncorhynchus masou masou (cherry salmon), 405 nucleotides. RefSeq lists it as uncharacterized. The record is from RefSeq and is a predicted model, not a curated record. Lineage: Eukaryota; Metazoa; Chordata; Actinopteri; Salmoniformes; Salmonidae. The transcript has 3 exons.